AACGCUGGCGGCGUGCGUAACACAUGCAAGUCGAACGAGAGUGUACUGACGGAUCCUUCGGGUGAAGAUAGUACAGGACAGUGGCGGAUGGGUGAGUAACGCGUAAGAAACCUGCCUUUCACACCGGGAUAGCAGCUGGAAACGGCUAUUAAUACCGGAUGACACUUUUUCCCCGCAUGAGGAAGAGGUUAAAGAAUUUCGGUGAAAGAUGGUCUUGCGUCUGAUUAGCUAGUUGGUGGGGUAACGGCCUACCAAGGCGACGAUCAGUAGCCGGCCUGAGAGGGUGUACGGCCACAUUGGGACUGAGACACGGCCCAAACUCCUACGGGAGGCAGCAGUGGGGAAUUUUGCACAACGGAGGAAACUCUGAUGCAGCGACGCCGCGUGAACGAAGAAGGUCUUCGGAUUGUAAAGUUCUGUCCUGGGUGAAGAUAAUGACGGUAACUCAGGAGGAGGCCCCGGCUAACUACGUGCCAGCAGCCGCGGUAA
RNAcentral lists this ribosomal RNA (489 nucleotides) under uncultured Eubacteriales bacterium. RNAcentral describes it as "bacterial SSU rRNA". It matches the Rfam family "Bacterial small subunit ribosomal RNA", at positions 32 to 523 of the family's 1533-position model. The record is from RNAcentral. Lineage: Bacteria; Bacillati; Bacillota; Clostridia; Eubacteriales.